This 253-nucleotide ribosomal RNA is filed under the name uncultured bacterium. Its description in RNAcentral is "partial 16S ribosomal RNA". It matches the Rfam family "Bacterial small subunit ribosomal RNA", at positions 524 to 776 of the family's 1533-position model. The record is from RNAcentral.
AACGUAGGAGACUAGCGUUAUCCGGAUUUACUGGGCGUAAAGCGUGUGCAGGCGGUUCGGCAAGUUGGAUGUGAAAUCUCCCGGCUCAACUGGGAGGGGUCGUUCAAUACUACCGAACUUGAGGGCAUCAGAGGAAGGUGGAAUUCCGGGUGUAGUGGUGAAAUGCGUAGAUAUCCGGAGGAACACCAGUGGCGAAGGCGGCCUUCUGGGAUGCUCCUGACGCUCAGACACGAAAGCUAGGGGAGCAAACGGG